UGAUCACCAAGAUUAAAGUAUUUUAAAAGAGUAGUUUAUUGAACAGAAAAUUGUGUCAAUGAUGUUAAAAUUAAUAAAGAAGAGAAAAAAAGGAUGCUUUAGUAAGAAUUAUCCAACAGCGGCUUCUUUCAACGACAAUAAUUAUUCGAUCGAUGAAUUUGCGCAGAGAUUUUUCGAUCAGAUUCCACGUUGUAAUAGGUUGGUUGUGUAGGUGUUUUGUAUAUAAUAUUUGUUUUAUACUCCUCUUUACAACAUAAAACGUUCUCUUUAUUUUACACAGAACAUCAAAAUUUUUCUCAUCCACCACCAACUUCCGUCCCUAUACAAUCAACGAAAUCAAACGUCCAAUUAGCACCACCACCACCGCUCAUUGUCUCAUCAAAUGUUGAACAGAUUUCUAAUUCACCACCGCUUAACGGAAAUUCGCACUCUAACGUCGCUAGUUCUAUGCUUAAGUACCAAACUAAUAACAAUAACGCGUAAGGAAAAGUUUUUUUUUCUCUUAUUCUCUUUUUUGUGUUAUUUCAUUUCUUGUUCUUUAUUCAUUUCCACAAUUUUCAUUCUUUCUUUUCUUUUGCAGAAAAUUUUCUGAAGUCAAAUUAACAAGGGAAGCGAUGCGAGCAUACCUGGAUCAUCGCUGUCACCAUACCCUACUGAUUUAUCACGCUAAAGUUGCACAGAAGAGUUAUGGAAAUGAAAAAAGAUUCUUUUGUCCUCCCCCUUGUAUAUAUUUAAAGAAUGGCGGUUGGAAAAGACGCUUGGAGCAGAUGGAAAACGAAGGGAUCCCCGAAGGCGAUAGACAAUUAUGCGCAUUUAUGGGCAUUGGUAAUUCAAAUCAUGAUAUGAAUCAAUUACAAUUGGAUGGUAAAGACUACUGCGCUGCCAAGACACUUUUCAUAUCGGAUGCUGACAAGCGAAAACAUUUCCAUCUUAACGUCAAAUUAUUCUAUUCUAACGGCCACGAUAUUGGAUCGUUUCCUUCAAAGCGUAUCAAGGUUAUAAGCAAACCAUCAAAAAAGAAACAAUCUCUGAAAAAUUCAGAUUUAUGUAUAGAAAGUGGAACCCAGGUGGCGUUGUUCAAUCGUCUUAGAUCACAAACGGUUUCAACCAGAUAUUUACAUGUUGAGAAGAGUGGUGAUAGUUACAAUUUCCAUGCUUCGUCAACUCAUUGGGGGUCGUUUACAAUUCAUCUCUUGGACAAUAACGAAGAUGAAAGUGAAGAAUUCAGUGUUUGCGACGGUUUUAUUCACUACGGCCAAACCAUUAAACUAGUCUGUGUCGAAACGGGUAUGACAUUACCACGUCUCAUAAUUAGAAAAGUCGACAAGCAAACUGUGCUGCUCGACGCUGACGAUCCAGUUUCUCAGCUUCAUAAAUGCGCAUUUUAUAUGAAAGAUACCGAACGCAUGUAUGUUUGCCUCGCUCAAGAGCGAAUAAUUCAGUUUCAAUCGACACCCUGCCCAAAAGAACCUAACAGAGAAAUGAUAAACGAUGGGGCGUCUUGGACAAUAAUAUCAACAGACAAAGCCGAGUACAGCUUUUUUGAAGGUAUGGGUGCAGUUGACAAGCCACUAACGCCAGUGCCGACAGUUACUCAAUUGGAAGUAGCUGGUGGAGGAGAUGUUGCCAUGCUUGAGCUAAGUGGUCAUAAUUUUACAGCGAAUCUCAAAGUAUGGUUUGACGUUGUUGAAGCGGAAACAAUGUUCAGAUGCGAAGAAUCUAUGCUUUGCGUUGUACCCGAUAUAUCGUAUUUUAAUUCUGAUUGGAAGUACGUUCAUUCAACUUUAAAAGUACCAAUAUCCUUAAUAAGAGGCGAUGGAGUAAUUUAUCCAACUGGUCUGAAUUUUACGUAUACACCUGAACCGGGGCCACACAAUUCCCAAAUUAAACACCUACAAUCAUCUUUAAAUACUUAGAUUAUUAUUUUUUCUCAAUUGAAAACUAAUUCAAUUCUAGUAUCAUAUUUUUAAAUGAGAUUGUUGAUAUUGUCAAAAUUUUUAGAGUAUUAUUUUUCUCUGUAUAUCUUUUUCAUUUGAAUUUUAUCUUUUUCUCUUAAUUAAUUCUAUUAAUCCUAAACAGAAU
This 2082-nucleotide unclassified non-coding RNA is filed under the name Dimorphilus gyrociliatus. RNAcentral describes it as "dgyrCDS6597". The record is from RNAcentral. Lineage: Eukaryota; Metazoa; Annelida; Polychaeta; Dinophilidae.